This 449-nucleotide ribosomal RNA is filed under the name uncultured bacterium. RNAcentral's name for it is "partial 16S ribosomal RNA". It matches the Rfam family "Bacterial small subunit ribosomal RNA", at positions 29 to 523 of the family's 1533-position model. The record is from RNAcentral.
AACGAACGCUGGCGGCAGGCCUAACACAUGCAAGUCAAACGGGGUAGCAAUACCUAGUGGCGCACGGGUGAGUAACACGUGGGAAUCUCCCUUUCAGUACGGAAUAACAGCGGGAAACUGCUGCUAAUACCGUAUGGUCCCUUCGGGGUAAAGAUUUAUCGCUGAAAGAUGAGCCCGCGUCAGAUUAGCUAGUUGGUGGGGUAACGGCCUACCAAGGCUACGAUCUGUAGCUGGCCUUAGAGGACGAUCAGCCACACUGGAACUGAGACACGGUCCAGACUCCUACGGGAGGCAGCAGUGGGGAAUAUUGGACAAUGGGGGAAACCCUGAUCCAGCCAUGCCGCGUGAGUGAUGAAGGCCUUCGGGUUGUAAAGCUCUUUAGGGUGGGACGAUAAUGACGGUACCACCAGAAUAAGCCCCGGCUAACCUCAUGCCAGCCGCCGCCGUAA